This 120-nucleotide ribosomal RNA is filed under the name Capsicum annuum. Lineage: Eukaryota; Viridiplantae; Streptophyta; Magnoliopsida; Solanales; Solanaceae. The record is from RNAcentral.
UGAUGCAAUCAUACCAAAACUAAUGCGUCGGAUACCAUUAGAACUCCGAAGUUAAGCAUGCUUGAGCGAGAGUAGUACUAGGAUGGGUGGCCCCCCUGGAAAGUCGUCGUGUUGCAUCCC